RNAcentral lists this long non-coding RNA (10693 nucleotides) under Brassica rapa (field mustard). RNAcentral's name for it is "long non-coding RNA (BRAP_LNC008409)". Lineage: Eukaryota; Viridiplantae; Streptophyta; Magnoliopsida; Brassicales; Brassicaceae. The record is from RNAcentral.
AUGCUUUCCUGCAAGGUGAACUAGAAGAUGAAGUAUACAUGCAUCCACCUCCUGGUCUUGAGCAUCUAGUAAAGCCAGGGAAUGUUUUAAGAUUGAAGAAGGCAAUAUAUGGGCUAAAACAGUCACCUAGAGCUUGGUACAGGAAGUUGAGUACCACUCUCAAUGGGAGAGGCUUUAGUGUAACACCCCCGAACCAUUUAAGACAUCGGUCAGUCAGUCGAGCAACAAUCAAACAAGAACAUGCCCGAACGACCUUCCUCUGCUAAGUCUGGAAGUGUCACAACGGGUUUAGAAUAGACUUUCCAAGUCACAAAACAUAAUUCUGUAACCCAGAAUAUCCAUUCAAAACUCGUUUCCUCUAAUCUUCGGCCUGAGGCUUUGCAACCCGUACCGAGUCAUAGAGUUGUGUUAGGUUGGACUAACCUAAUAUCAGAUUCAACACGUCACGAAUAUUAAACAUACUUUAUUCCAUAUAUAUAUAAAACAUGAAGUUCACGAGCCCAAAAUAUUAUACAUAUGGUCCAUGGACGCAGUCGAAAGUAAAACAUACAUUCAUAUAUCUUGAAAACGAGUCUUUAGCAAAAGAUGUCCAAUCUACACCAGCUCCUACAGUUCCGUGAGUGCUACGGUCUUUUCUACUGGUCACCUGCAAAAGGAUGUGAGGAGUGAGUGAACUAGUUUCACUCAGUGAGCCAGGGUUCCCUAUCUAGCAUAUAUAACUACCCGUCAUUUUAAACCCAACCCCAAACACAAGCAAGACGGGUAGUUCAACAAUCAGUAUUCAAGAUCAUAAAGCAAUACCGAUUUAAGCAAUAAAGCUUUAAACCAUAUUUAAUCAAAACACUCUUUAUGAGUGUCAUUCAAUAAACCAUAUACAUGUACUCCUAGGGCCCAACAGAAUCAUUCUUCCUCCACAUAAGGGACACCGGCAAUCCCUUCACUAUUACACCACACAGGCGUAGGCGCUCGGGAAUCGCCCGGUCACGGUCCUCAAUCGGAAUCACCGUGCCCCGGUCCUCUAUCGGACUCGCCGGGGGCUGUCACAUCCACGUGUGACACCCGGCCUCGGUGAUCAAGCCAAGUUAAACCGAGCCCACCACUUUCCGGACCACGACCGGCUUAGUGGUACCAUUUGAGAAAGCAAUGACCUGCAACUACUACUAGAACCACCACGAGGUUCUCACACAACAAUACCAACACGAGGUACCCACUAUAACAACAUAUAAUAAUUACACAAUCGCAAUAAUCCGGGUGCUUAGACUAGUCUUGCUAUCCACUUAGCCUAGACAUCGUCUCAAGCCUCGGAUCCACAAACUGACACCUAGCCCGGUCCGGCUAUCCUAGCUCGGAAACCGUCUCCGAUGUCAGGAGCCUGCAUUAAAAAUUUGUUAACAAACAAUUAACCGUGACUCACAGUGAUUAACCGAUGUGGCUUGACUUUCUGAUUCCGGAAGCUGACCAAACCCUUUUUAUUCUUCCAAAUCUUCGUCUUGAUUACGUACCGUUAAUCUCGCAAUCUUGUAACACGUCUUGCCUCUCUAAGCAGCUCCUUAAAUAUAUUAUUUAUUUUCCUUCUUUUUUUUUUCUAUUUCUUUUCUCUCUUUCUUUUAUUUCUCUUCUCUCCUGUUCUUUUUCUCCUUCUCUCUCUUGGUCGUUGAUGUUCUGAUCGUGAGAAAAUGGAGGGACUUUGCUUCAUUUAUAUAGUCAACCAAGAUGUAUGAGGUGGUGACAAGUAUCACACUCUUCUUCCCAUCUUUGACCACGUUUUCAAAGCAAUGACUAAGUCAUUUGCUUCCUAGUUGGCCACGUGAUACUCAUAAGCAUGAGCAAGCAUAUUAAUUUAUUUUCUUCCUUUCUUAUAUAGACACCUGAUGAUGACAAAGCAAACCUGUAUGAUUCAUUCUCCUUUCCUUCCCAUCAAACACGUUGAUUGCAACCAAGCCAUAAGAAAUAUAAAAUAUUUCUUUAUCUCCUCUUUUCUUCUCAGCUUGAUUAAUUAACCCAAACUUAGUAAUCAAAACACCAUUCUCAUCGAUCACUUUUCUCCUUUUAAAAGAUAUAGCUUAAUUAUCCAAUUAAGCUACUAACUUACUUUCAAUGCAUCGAUCACUUUUUGUCUUUAGCUUUGUAUUUUUCUUUCCAGAAAAAUUUAUUUCUGAGAAUUUAUUAUGUUGAAUUAUUUAUUUAAAAAUAAUUCUUUCUCAGAAAGACGGGAUAUUACAUCCUCCUCCCCUUAUUAGAAUUCGUCCCCGAAUUCUCUAGGAUGAUCCCUUUUCUUCCAUCACUACGUCUUCAUGGAAGAAUUCUGGAUGCGAUGCUUUGAAUCUUGACUCAUCCUCCCAGGUCACAAUUACAUGGUUUCGCUUACCCCAGAAGACUUGGAUUUGAGGAAUCUCUUGGUUCUUUAGUUUUCGUAUUCGACGUUCACCUAUUCGGAUCGGUCCCUGUGGAUAAGUGAGAUUUGUUUGCAAGUUUUCAAUUUGCUCCGUCUCAAUAGCUUUGGGAUCAUGAACAUGCUUCCGUAGCAUUGAUACGUGAAACACCGGAUGUAUCCGCAUUUCUUCGGGCAGGUUGAGACGGUAAGCAACAUCUCCGAUUCGUUCUUCAAUCUGGUAAGGCCCAAUGAAUCUUACCGCAAGUUUCCCGACUUUCCCGAAUCGAUCUUUUCCUUUCUGAGCUGACACUUUCAGAUAAACCCAAUCACCAAUACUGAACACCACUUCUCGCCUUGAUUGAUCGGCGUAUUUCUUUUGUCUAUCCUGCGCUUUUUUCAUAUUGGUUUGAAUGAUCUCCAACUUUUUCAUCGUCUCUUCUACAAUUUCGGGUCCAAACUCUCUUCUUUCUCCAACUUCGGUCCAACAUAAAGGUGUUUUGCAUGGCCUCCCAUAAAGCGCCUCAUAUGGUGCCAUACCUAUGCUAGAAUGAAAGCUGUUGUUGUAGGAGAACUCGAUUAAUGGUAAAUGCUUUUCCCAGCUUCCCGCCCAAUCCAAUAUACACAUCCGCAUCAUAUCCUCUAUGGUUCGAAUGGUUCUUUCGGUUUGGCCGUCCGUCUCGGGAUGAUACGCGGUGCUAAUAAACAACUUAGUUCCCACUGCUUUUUGUAACGCCUUCCAAAAAUUUGAGGUGAAUCUAGGAUCUCGAUCAGAGACUAUAUCUGUUGGCACACCAUGCAACUUCACAAUCUGAUCCACGUACAUCUCUGUCAAUACUUCUACCUUAUCGGUUUCCUUCAUAGGUAACAAGUGCGCCACUUUUGUCAAUCUGUCGACAAUCACCCAUAUUGCAUUAUUUGAUCUUCCUCUAGCCGGCGGUAACCCAGUGAUGAAGUCCAUGGAUAUGGAAUCCCAUUUCCACUGAGGUACUGGUAAGCUUUGUAAUAAUCCUCCUGGAAUCUGAUGCUCGACUUUGACUUGUUGACAAGUUUGGCAUUGAGCCACCCAUCGCGCCACUGACUUCUUCAUUCCUGGCCAAUGAUAAUACUUUCGGAUAUCUCGAUACAUUUUCGUACUCCCGGGAUGGAUACUGAGUAACGAGUGAUGCGCCGACUUCAAAAUUUCAUCUCGUAGCCCUUCUCCCUGUGGUACUGAUAUCCUCCCAUUAAGUAAAAGUGUACCAUCUGCCGCCACAUGAUAACCACUUGGGUUUGUACCUUCAGGAUUCUUGACUUCCUCGAUGAUUAUCUUUAGCUUUUCAUCACAUUCUUGCUCUUUUCUGAUCCGUGCGAGUAAACCUGCUUGGUCUACGGCACGCGUGCCUAAGGACUCACUUGGUUCUCCCUCAAUUGCCUGUAACGUCAUCAACUUGAGUUCAUUUGAUAACGCUUCCACUUCCUUUCCAACAUCAGACGCCAACUUUCUACGACUUAGUGCAUCUGCGACAACAUUAGCUUUGCCUGGAUGAUAUUGAAUCUUCAAGUCGUAAUCCGCCACAAACUCCAUCCAUCGCCUUUGUCGGAGGUUUAGAUCAGGCUGUGUGAACAAGUACUUGAGACUCUUAUGAUCUGUGAAUACUUCCACGACUUCUCCAUAUAAGUAGGAUCUCCAAAUCCUUAACGCAAACACCACUGCCGCCAUUUCUAAAUCGUGUGUUGGGUAGUUCUCUUCAUGUUUCCUGAGUUGCCUUGAUGCAUAAGCAAUUACUUUGCCUUCCUGCAUCAACACACAACCCAACCCAACCCUAGAAGCAUCUGCGUACACAGUGUAAGGUUUACCUUGUUCAGGUAAUGCCAAUACUGGUGUUGUGGUCAAAGCUUUCUUCAGUCUCUGAAAUGCUUCCACUGUUUCUUUUCCCCAGAUGAACGGAACUCCUUUUCCAGUCAACUUCGUUAGGGGCUUAGCGAUUGAGGAAAAGUCCUUGACGAACUUUCGAUAAUACCCGGCUAACCCGAGGAAACUUCUUACCUCGGUUACCGUUGAUGGCCUUUGCCAUUCCUCGAUGGCUUUCACCUUUUCCGAAUCUACAGAAACUCCUUCUCCGGACACUCGGUGCCCUAAGAAUCCGAUCUCUCUUUUCCAAAAAGAACACUUACUGAACUUUGCAUACAACCUCUGGUUUCUUAACCGUUCCAACACUAGCUUCAAGUGUGCUUUGUGCUCUACCUCUGUCUUGGAAUAUAUUAAAAUAUCAUCGAUGAAGAUUAUCACGAACUUGUCGAGAUAAUCGUGGAAGACUUCAUUCAUCAAUCUCAUGAAGGCCGCCGGUGCGUUAGUAAGUCCAAAUGGCAUUACGACAAACUCGUAUUGUCCAUAACGAGUUCUAAACGCAGUCUUCAUGAAAUCACCUUCUGAAAUUGGAAUCUGAUGAUAGCCCGACGCCAAGUCGAUCUUUGAAAACCAACUUGCUCCCCUUAACUGAUCCAACAAUUCGUCUAUCCUCGGAAGGGGAUACUUAUCUUUGAUGGUGAUAUUGUUGAUUCCUCGAUAAUCAAUGCAAAGCCGCAUGCUACCAUCUUUCUUCUUGACAAAUAAGACCGGAGCUCCCCAUGGUGAAGAGCUAGGUCUUAUGAAACCUUUGUCCAUUAAAUCUUCAAGUUGUGUCUUCAACUCUGCUAACUCUGCAGGUGCCAUGCGGUAAGGAGCCUUUGCUAUCGGCUUAGCUCCAGGUUCCAAGUUAAUUGUGAAAGGGUUACUCCGAGGUGGAGGUAACUCUUUUAACGCUGCAAACACAUCCUCAAACUCUUGUACUACCGCAAUAUCCGUAAUUUUAACUUCAUUGCUAACGGGUCCUUCACUAGCAGUUACUGUUACCAGAUACGCUUCUCCAUCCUUAAGCAAAUCUUCCACUCUCAAGGCAGCUACUAAAGACACAGAUUUGCUUGGACUGAUCCCGUAGAAUACUAUUUGCCGUUGCCCGUUCUCUUUGAACAAAAUACGACCUUUUUCACAAUCUAAUUGAGCCCGAUAGCCUGAUAACCAAUCCAUGCCCAGAAUAACCUCAUAUCCCUUUAAGGGCACCACCAACAAAUCUGCCACAAACAUCUUCUCGCAAAUGACUAACGGAACUCUUCUGAGGCACUCUUUUGCUUGUAGGGUUUGGUCUCCGGGAGUUAUCACAGCCACAUGCAUCCUGUCAAUCACAAAUGAUCUCACAAACUCGGCAGCUACCUCAGGGGUCACAAAGCUAUGUGUUGCCCCCGAGUCGAACAAUACAUGUGUGGGACGCCCCGCAACAUGUAAAGUUCCUGCCACAACAUCAAUAUGUAUCAACAACAUAAAAAUUAUCCAACAGAAAUUAAUCAAUCCAUCACAAGCAAUCACUCAACACAAAAUCAAUCUAGUAAAGUUAAAGAACCCAAAUACCUGUGAUGGGACCCUUAGAUGGGCCUGGAAGUUUAGUAUCCUCUAGUUCUAAAGCGUAAACUCUACCUCCUAUAGCUUGCCUUUUUGGCGCUGGUGCGAUUGCAGGUGGAGCCGGGGGAGGAUGGACACUGAUUGGCGUAGCCGGGAUAGGACGAUUGACACUGUACUGUGUAGAGAUGUGUCCUUUCUUUCCACACGUGUAGCAUGUAGGAUUGUAGGAGUUUGACUGAAAGGAUCCAGGUUUCUUUCCGAAGCAUUCACUCGACUUAUGGCCUAUCUUGCCACAGUUAAAGCAUUUUCCUGUGAAUAGAGAUCGUCGAGUUGGCCUUCCUGAUUCCUUUUCCUUAUCUUUACCCUUAAAUGAUCUUUGAUUUCCACCAUACUUUCCUUGUUCAUGCUGCUUGGACUUUUUACUUGCCGCCUUCUCAGCUUCUAAUCCGAUCUCUACAUUCACAGCUUUUUCCACUAGGUCGGUGAGACUCUCGUAGUUCCCGACUGCCAGUCUAUUUUCUAACUCUGGUUUUAAACCAAACAUAAAGUUGGAUAUCAUGGUUUCUUCAUCAUCUUGUCCCUGCAGCACAUGUCGUCGCAGUCGCAUGAACUCCGAUUCAUAUUCUCUAACUGUCUUGUCUCCUUGUGCUAGGUUAGCAAACUGACGUUGAAGCCUUCGCUUGGACUCCGGGGUGAAAUACUUGCGUUCAAAUUCCUUUUUGAAUGCCGCCCAAGUGGUGACCAGAUGUCCUACUUGGCGAUUCCUGUUUUCCCACCAUUCUGCCGCAUCUUUUUCUAAGUAAUACACCGCCAUCUUUUUCUUAGACUCUUCAGAACACGUCAGGGUCUCAAAGUUUUUCUCCAUAGUUCGAAGCCACUGGUCAGCUUCAAAUGGGUCUGUCCCUCCUUCAAAAUGUGGUGUCUUCAUGUUUUUCAUGGCAGUUAUCAAUGGUAACAUCGGUGUAGCCACUGUAGGUUGUGGUGGUACGAGUGGCUGAGGUUGCACCUGAGGUUGUUGCAGUGACCUCGCUAUCACGUCAUGAAGCAUCUUCAGAGUAUGCUCCAUUCCUAUUCCUUGUUGUGGUUGAUCAUGAACUUCUUGUUCAAUCGGGUUGCUCCGUCUUAUUGGUCUUGGUCCUUGGACACUUGACUCACUAUCAUCUGUUUCUGGUCUUUCCCUUACACUACGGUUCGGUGGAAAGUGUUCUUCUUGUGGCCUUGACUGGUCGUGCCCAAACAGAUUGUCAUUUUCCACUAUGUUAUCUUCGCUGAACUCCUGGUUGGUGUGUGCUAGUGUUUGCACUCUUACGUCGGAUUCAUAUCCCAGCCCUCGUCUUCUUGAGAUUCUUCCUGUACCCAGCAUCCAAUCCUGUCCCCCUUCACUCCUUCCCCUUCUUGCCAUCUGCAAUCCAUAAACAGGGAAUUUCCUAUUUAGAAUAAUAAUUAGAACGGAACUCUGCUGGUUUCCUAAUACAUCUUUUGCGACACAUUUGACUCGAUAAAACAUGAAAAAUGCGUGAUUGACCGCAUGAUCUAAACCAUGCUCUGAUACCACCUCUGUAACACCCCCGAACCAUUUAAGACAUCGGUCAGUCAGUCGAGCAACAAUCAAACAAGAACAUGCCCGAACGACCUUCCUCUGCUAAGUCUGGAAGUGUCACAACGGGUUUAGAAUAGACUUUCCAAGUCACAAAACAUAAUUCUGUAACCCAGAAUAUCCAUUCAAAACUCGUUUCCUCUAAUCUUCGGCCUGAGGCUUUGCAACCCGUACCGAGUCAUAGAGUUGUGUUAGGUUGGACUAACCUAAUAUCAGAUUCAACACGUCACGAAUAUUAAACAUACUUUAUUCCAUAUAUAUAUAAAACAUGAAGUUCACGAGCCCAAAAUAUUAUACAUAUGGUCCAUGGACGCAGUCGAAAGUAAAACAUACAUUCAUAUAUCUUGAAAACGAGUCUUUAGCAAAAGAUGUCCAAUCUACACCAGCUCCUACAGUUCCAUGAGUGCUACGGUCUUUUCUACUGGUCACCUGCAAAAGGAUGUGAGGAGUGAGUGAACUAGUUUCACUCAGUGAGCCAGGGUUCCCUAUCUAGCAUAUAUAACUACCCGUCAUUUUAAACCCAACCCCAAACACAAGCAAGACGGGUAGUUCAACAAUCAGUAUUCAAGAUCAUAAAGCAAUACCGAUUUAAGCAAUAAAGCUUUAAACCAUAUUUAAUCAAAACACUCUUUAUGAGUGUCAUUCAAUAAACCAUAUACAUGUACUCCUAGGGCCCAACAGAAUCAUUCUUCCUCCACAUAAGGGACACCGGCAAUCCCUUCACUAUUACACCACACAGGCGUAGGCGCUCGGGAAUCGCCCGGUCACGGUCCUCAAUCGGAAUCACCGUGCCCCGGUCCUCUAUCGGACUCGCCGGGGGCUGUCACAUCCACGUGUGACACCCGGCCUCGGUGAUCAAGCCAAGUUAAACCGAGCCCACCACUUUCCGGACCACGACCGGCUUAGUGGUACCAUUUGAGAAAGCAAUGACCUGCAACUACUACUAGAACCACCACGAGGUUCUCACACAACAAUACCAACACGAGGUACCCACUAUAACAACAUAUAAUAAUUACACAAUCGCAAUAAUCCGGGUGCUUAGACUAGUCUUGCUAUCCACUUAGCCUAGACAUCGUCUCAAGCCUCGGAUCCACAAACUGACACCUAGCCCGGUCCGGCUAUCCUAGCUCGGAAACCGUCUCCGAUGUCAGGAGCCUGCAUUAAAAAUUUGUUAACAAACAAUUAACCGUGACUCACAGUGAUUAACCGAUGUGGCUUGACUUUCUGAUUCCGGAAGCUGACCAAACCCUUUUUAUUCUUCCAAAUCUUCGUCUUGAUUACGUACCGUUAAUCUCGCAAUCUUGUAACACGUCUUGCCUCUCUAAGCAGCUCCUUAAAUAUAUUAUUUAUUUUCCUUCUUUUUUUUUUUCUAUUUCUUUUCUCUCUUUCUUUUAUUUCUCUUCUCUCCUGUUCUUUUUCUCCUUCUCUCUCUUGGUCGUUGAUGUUCUGAUCGUGAGAAAAUGGAGGGACUUUGCUUCAUUUAUAUAGUCAACCAAGAUGUAUGAGGUGGUGACAAGUAUCACACUCUUCUUCCCAUCUUUGACCACGUUUUCAAAGCAAUGACUAAGUCAUUUGCUUCCUAGUUGGCCACGUGAUACUCAUAAGCAUGAGCAAGCAUAUUAAUUUAUUUUCUUCCUUUCUUAUAUAGACACCUGAUGAUGACAAAGCAAACCUGUAUGAUUCAUUCUCCUUUCCUUCCCAUCAAACACGUUGAUUGCAACCAAGCCAUAAGAAAUAUAAAAUAUUUCUUUAUCUCCUCUUUUCUUCUCAGCUUGAUUAAUUAACCCAAACUUAGUAAUCAAAACACCAUUCUCAUCGAUCACUUUUCUCCUUUUAAAAGAUAUAGCUUAAUUAUCCAAUUAAGCUACUAACUUACUUUCAAUGCAUCGAUCACUUUUUGUCUUUAGCUUUGUAUUUUUCUUUCCAGAAAAAUUUAUUUCUGAGAAUUUAUUAUGUUGAAUUAUUUAUUUAAAAAUAAUUCUUUCUCAGAAAGACGGGAUAUUACAUCUAGGAAGUCUGAACUGGAUCACACUCUCUUCACCUUGACAGGACCUUCAGGGAUCAUUGUGAUUCUAGUGUAUGUGGAUGAUUUGAUUAUCACAGGAAGUGAUAAGGCAGGGAUUCAGGCUACUAAGGAGUUUCUCAAAUCAGUGUUUGACAUCAAGGAUUUGGGAGAGAUGAAGUAUUUUCUGGGUAUUGAGAUAUGCAGAUCAAAGGAGGGCUUGUUUAUGUCUCAAAGGAAGUACACUCAGGAUCUGUUGAAGGGCGCUGGUAAGCUUGGAGGAAAGACAGCUAAGACACCUCUUGAGGAUGGGUAUAAGGUUUUGCUUGAGGGGGAGAUUGAAAACAAUCAGCCAUUUGAAGAUGCUAAGCUGUAUAGGAAGAUGGUUGGGAAGCUGAUCUACUUGACAAUCACCAGACCAGACAUAUGUUUUGCUGUGAAUCAAGUUAGCCAGCAUAUGCAAGCUCCAAAGAUGCACCAUUGGAACAUGGUAGACAGAAUCUUGAGGUAUUUGAAUGUCUCUAGCGGCCAAGGAGUCUGGAUGGGAUGCAAUAGGAGUACAGAAGUGGUUGGUUAUUGUGAUGCUGACUGGGCCGGAGAUAGAGUUGAUAGGAGAUCAACUACUGGGUAUUGUACCUUCAUUGGAGGGAACUUGGUUACAUGGAAGAGUAAGAAGCAGAAGGUUGUCUCAUGUUCUAGUGCUGAGGCUGAAUAUAGAGCCAUGUUGAAGCUGACUAAUGAGCUAGUGUGGAUCAAAGGGAUAUUGAAGCAUUUGAGGAUUGAGCAGACCACUCCUAUGACAAUGCAUUGUGACAAUCAGGCUGCUAUUCACAUUGCCUCUAAUUCUGUGUUUCAUGAGAGAACAAAGCACAUAGAAGUUGAUUGUCACAAGGUGAGGCAGAUGAUUGUCCUAGGAGUAAUACUGCCAUGCUACACGAGGAGUGAGGAUCAACUGGCUGAUGUGUUUACUAAGGCAGCGAGGCAGAAGACAAUAGAGUCCAUACUAUCAAGGCUUGGACUCAUUGAUCUUACUCCCAGGAGCUGAUCCCCUUAACCAUGGAGUCUCUACUCUUUUUCCCUCAUCAAGGUUUUAUCCCAAUGGGUUUUCCUUGGUGAGGUUUAUAACGAGGGAGAUCUUCAUGGUUUCCAAGCUAGACAAGUUCAGUUAGUCUAGCUUGAGGAGGAGUGUUGAGAUGAAGAUCAAGAAGUGGAGAGAUGAAGCUUUGGGGUUCAGUAGAGUGAUGAGGUAGAAACAGUAACUUCAGAGAGUUACCAUGUCUGGAUGGAAGUGACUUGGGAAGUUAC